CCUACGGGGGGCAGCAGUGGGGAAUAUUGCGCAAUGGGCGAAAGCCUGACGCAGCGACGCCGCGUGAGGGAUGAAGGUCUUCGGAUCGUAAACCUCUGUCAGCAGGGAAGAACGGUCACUGUGCUAAUCAGCAGUGACUUGACGGUACCUGCAAAGGAAGCACCGGCUAACUCCGUGCCAGCAGCCGCGGUAAUACGGAGGGUGCGAGCGUUAAUCGGAAUUACUGGGCGUAAAGCGCUCGUAGGCGGUAUGUCAAGUCAAGGGUGAAAUCCCCGCGCUCAACGUGGGAACUGCCUUUGAAACUGGCAAACUGGAGUGUGUGAGAGGAUAGUGGAAUUCCAGGUGUAGGGGUGAAAUCCGUAGAUAUCUGGAGGAACAUCAGUGGCGAAGGCGACUAUCUGGCACAUAACUGACGCUGAGGAGCGAAAGCGUGGGUAGCAAACAGGAUUAGAUACCCCGGUAGUC
This 465-nucleotide ribosomal RNA is filed under the name uncultured bacterium. Its description in RNAcentral is "partial 16S ribosomal RNA". It matches the Rfam family "Bacterial small subunit ribosomal RNA", at positions 338 to 795 of the family's 1533-position model. The record is from RNAcentral.